UUCGGCUGUGUAUCACAGUAGUAGUUUGGUGAAAAGAAGUGAAGUGCAGGUGAUUUAUUGGGUUCCAGCAGUUAAUCCUAUUCCAGCAGCGAUAUCCCUAGCAGUGGAUCAUUAUUAGGGACUGUGAGUUUAAGGACUUUGACGCGAGACGA
Zingiber officinale is the source of this 152-nucleotide long non-coding RNA. RefSeq lists it as uncharacterized. The record is from RefSeq and is a predicted model, not a curated record. The transcript is spliced from 3 exons. NCBI's taxonomy places the organism in Eukaryota, Viridiplantae, Streptophyta, Magnoliopsida, Zingiberales, Zingiberaceae.